AUCCUUCGGGAUUUGGAAGAGUGGCGAACGGGUGAGGAACACGUAAGAAUCUACCUUUCGGUUGGGGAUAACUUCUGGAAACGGGAGCUAAUACCCAAUAUGCUGUGGAGUGAAAGAAUUUCGCCGAAAGACGAUCUUGCGUCUGAUUAGCUUGUUGGGGUGGUAAUGGCACACCAAGGCGACGAUCAGUAGCUGAUCUGAGAGGAUGGACAGCCACAUUGGGACUGANACACGGCCCAGACUCCUACGGGAGGCAGCAGUGGGGAAUUUUCCGCAAUGGACGAAAGUCUGACGGAGCGACGCUGCGUGAAGGAUGAAGGCCCGUGGGUUGUAAACUUCUUUUCUCGAAGAAGAAAAAAAUGACGGUAUUCGAGGAAUAAGCAUCGGCUAACUCUGUGCCAGCAGCCGCGGUAAGACAGAGGAUGCAAGUGUUAUUCGGAAUGAUUGGGCGUAAAGAGUCUGUAGGCGGUUUAGAAAGUCUUUUGUGAAAUACUUCAGCUCAACUGAGGCUCCGCAAAAGAAACUUCUAGACUUGAGGAAAGUAGAGGUACAGGGAAUUUCCGGUGGAGCGGUGAAAUGCGUAGAUAUCGGAAGGAACACCAAUAUGGCGAAGGCACUGUACUGGGCUUUUCCUGACGCUAAGAGACGAAAGCUGAAGGAGUGAUUAGGAUUAGAUACCCUAGUAAUUUCAGCCGUAAACGAUGNAAACUCACUGUCGAGCCAAUAU
This 727-nucleotide ribosomal RNA is filed under the name uncultured eukaryote. Its description in RNAcentral is "bacterial SSU rRNA". It matches the Rfam family "Bacterial small subunit ribosomal RNA", at positions 75 to 834 of the family's 1533-position model. The record is from RNAcentral.